CCUACGGGUGGCAGCAGUAGGGAAUCUUUCACAAUGGGCGAAAGCCUGAUGGAGCAACGCCGCGUGCAGGAUGAAGGCCUUCGGGUUGUAAACUGCUUUUAUCAGCGAGAAAUAUGAUGGUAACUUAGGAAUAAGCCUCGGCUAACUACGUGCCAGCAGCCGCGGUAAUACGUAGGAGGCAAGCGUUAUCCGGAAUGACUGGGCGUAAAGGGUGCGUAGGUGGUUUGACAAGUUGGUAGCGUAACUCCGGAGCUCAACUUCGGAACUACUACCAAAACUGUUGGACUCGAGUGCAGGAGGGGCAACUGGAAUUUCUAGUGUAGCGGUGGAAUGCGUAGAUAUUAGGAAGAACACCGGUGGCGAAGGCGAGUUGCUGGACUGUAACUGACACUGAGGCACGAAAGCGUGGGGAGCAAACAGGAUUAGAUACCCUAGUAGUC
Molecule: ribosomal RNA, 440 nt
Filed under: uncultured bacterium
Lineage: Bacteria
Description: partial 16S ribosomal RNA
Rfam family: Bacterial small subunit ribosomal RNA
Source: RNAcentral